This 1144-nucleotide long non-coding RNA is filed under the name Macaca mulatta (Rhesus monkey). RNAcentral's name for it is "lncRNA (ENSMMUG00000057404.1)". The record is from RNAcentral. Lineage: Eukaryota; Metazoa; Chordata; Mammalia; Primates; Cercopithecidae.
UCCGGCACCAAAAAGCAGUCAGAGAAUUAAAAAUUAGAUUAAUUAGAAGUCUGUUUAGAUAAUAAUUUGAUUCCUGGUCUGUCUUAAAACAUGAAUAUGAAGAACUGUGGCAGGAAGAUCUUUAGGAAAAUGGGAGACUCAAAAGAAUACUUGAUGUAAUGGUGCCAAAUGUGAACUAUAAGGAAGACAAUGCAGGAAGAAAAGCGCAAUUUAAAAUGCCAGCCUAAAGAAAAAGAGACAGUUCUCAGAACAUUCGCAUCCAGAAUUAUAUCUCCCGGGCAGAAGGAUUCCUCUAUGGAGAAACCAAGAGAAAAGACCUGACACUUUGAGGCUCCCCGGCAAAAUGGCCAGGCUCCUACCUUAUAGCACUGCAGUGAAGCCCAUUGGAUAGCAAGCUCCAUCUGUGCACACAAUCAGCUAUUUAGUUCCUUGAUAAAUAUAUUGUUGAUAAAUAUAAAUGGAUAACUAAGAAUCCCAAGGGAUCUGAGUAAAGUGUUCACCAUGAAAGACAGUUUUAGUAACAAAAUUUUAGUAACAGAGAAGCGGAGCAGGGUGAAUAUCCUGGGCUUAGUAUCAUGUGAGACGUCAGAAGAUGUUAUAUCCAUAAGACAAAAACAGAAAAAUAUAAAAUAAACAUUCAAAAAAUUAAAAAAUACUAUUGGAAAUGUAAAAAUACAAUGAAAUAAAAAUUCAACAGAAUAUUGGAAAAUGUGGAAGAAAUCUUCAGAAAGUAACCAAAAAGAUCAAGAUAUGAAAAAAAGCAGAAAAAAAUACAAAACUUAGAGGAUCAAUGCAAGAAGUAAAACGUUACACUAGUAGGCAUUUUAGAAAAAGUUAACAGAUAAAAUGGAAUAGUAAAUUUUUCAAGAAAGUAAUACAAGAAAAUCUUGACCUGAGAGAUCUGAGUCUCCCAACUGAAAAGGACUUUUUGAGUUCGCAGAACAAUAACACCAAGGCACAUCAUUGUGAAAUUUUACAGUUGGAAAAAGAGAAGAUCCUAAAAUCAGAAAUCCUAUAGGCUUAUAAGCAACAAGCUCAGAAUCUAGAGUAAAGUGAAGGAAUGUCUUCACAAUUCUGAGGAGAAAUGAUUGGUAAACUGGAAUCGUACACUCAGCCAAACUGUCAAUCAAGUGUAAGGUUUGUA